Molecule: ribosomal RNA, 451 nt
Filed under: uncultured bacterium
Lineage: Bacteria
Description: partial 16S ribosomal RNA
Rfam family: Bacterial small subunit ribosomal RNA
Source: RNAcentral
GAUGAACGUUGGCAACGUGCCUAAGAUAUGCAAGUCGAGCGGGCAUCUUCGGGUGUCAGCGGCGGACGGGUGAGUAACGCGUGGGAACGUGCCUUCUGGUUCGGAAUAACUCAGGGAAACUUGAGCUAAUACCGGAUACGCCCUUUUGGGGAAAGGUUUACUGCCGGAAGAUCGGCCCGCGUCUGAUUAGCUAGUUGGUGGGGUAACGGCCUACCAAGGCGACGAUCAGUAGCUGGUCUGAGAGGAUGAUCAGCCACACUGGGACUGAGACACGGCCCAGACUCCUACGGGAGGCAGCAGUGGGGAAUAUUGGACAAUGGGGGCAACCCUGAUCCAGCCAUGCCGCGUGAGUGAUGAAGGCCUUAGGGUUGUAAAGCUCUUUUAUCCGGGACGAUAAUGACGGUACCGGAGGAAUAAGCCCCGGCUAACUUCGUGCCAGCCGCCGCCGUAA